ACUAGGAUUAGAUACCCUAUUAUUUAAAUUUAAAAUUAUAAUACUAAAAUAGUAAUUAAUUAUUUAUUGAAACUUAAAUAAUUUGGCGGUAUUUUAGUUCAUUUAGAGGAAUCUGUUUAAUAAUUGAUAUUCCACGAAUAAAUUUACUUAAUUUAUUAAUUUUGUAUAUCGUUGUUAUAAAAAUAUUUUUUAAUAAAAUUAAUAUUUAAAAAUUAUUAUAUAAAUUUAAAUCAGAUCAAGAUGCAGAUUAUAAUUAAGAAUAUAAUGGAUUACAAUGAAAUUAUUUAUAUGGAUAUAAGUUUGUAAAAAUAAAUUGAAAGUGGAUUUAAAUGUAAUUUUAUUUAAUUUGAUAAUAUGAUUAAAAAUUAAAAUAUGUACACAUCGC
This 385-nucleotide ribosomal RNA is filed under the name Acrapex simillima. RNAcentral describes it as "partial 12S ribosomal RNA". Lineage: Eukaryota; Metazoa; Arthropoda; Insecta; Lepidoptera; Noctuidae. The record is from RNAcentral.